UACGUAGGGGGCAAGCGUUGUCCGGAUUUAUUGGGCGUAAAGAGCGUGUAGGCGGCUUGGUAGGUCAGCUGUGAAAACUCGAGGCUCAACCUCGAGACGUCGGUUGAAACCGUAAGGCUAGAGUCCGGAAGAGGAGAGUGGAAUUCCCGGUGUAGCGGUGAAAUGCGCAGAUAUCGGGAAGAACACCCGUGGCGAAGGCGGCUCUCUGGGACGGUACUGACGCUGAGACGCGAAAGCGUGGGGAGCGAACAGG
RNAcentral lists this ribosomal RNA (253 nucleotides) under uncultured bacterium. RNAcentral describes it as "partial 16S ribosomal RNA". It matches the Rfam family "Bacterial small subunit ribosomal RNA", at positions 524 to 776 of the family's 1533-position model. The record is from RNAcentral.